UCCUACGGGAGGCAGCAGUGGGGAAUAUUGCACAAUGGGGGGAACCCUGAUGCAGCAAUGCCGCGUGGGUGAAGAAGCACUCCGGCGCGUAAAGCCCUGUCAGCAGGGAAGAAAAUGACAGUACCUGAACAAGAAGCCCCGGCUAACUACGUGCCAGCAGCCGCGGUAAUACGUAGGGGGCAAGCGUUAUCCGGAUUUACUGGGUGUAAAGGGAGCGCAGGCGGCGAGGCAAGCCAGAUGUGAAAACCCGGGGCCCAACCCCGGGACUGCAUUUGAAACUGCCAGGCUGGAGUGCCGGAGAGGUA
RNAcentral lists this ribosomal RNA (305 nucleotides) under uncultured bacterium. Its description in RNAcentral is "bacterial SSU rRNA". It matches the Rfam family "Bacterial small subunit ribosomal RNA", at positions 337 to 659 of the family's 1533-position model. The record is from RNAcentral.